Molecule: ribosomal RNA, 504 nt
Filed under: uncultured bacterium
Lineage: Bacteria
Description: partial 16S ribosomal RNA
Rfam family: Bacterial small subunit ribosomal RNA
Source: RNAcentral
GACGAACGCUGGCGGCGUGCCUAACACAUGCAAGUCGAACGGUAGCAGAACUAGCUUGCUAGUUGCUGACGAGUGGCGAACGGGUGAGUAACGCGUGGGAAUCUACCUGGUAGUGGGGGAUAACAGUCGGAAACGACUGCUAAUACCGCAUACGUCCUAAGGGAGAAAGCGGGGGAUCUUCGGACCUCGUGCUAUCAGAUGAGCCCGCGUCGGAUUAGCUAGUUGGUGGGGUAAGAGCCUACCAAGGCGACGAUCCGUAGCUGGUCUGAGAGGAUGAUCAGCCACACUGGAACUGAGACACGGUCCAGACGCCUACGGGAGGCAGCAGUGGAGAAUAUUGGACAAUGGGCGCAAGCCUGAUCCAGCCAUGCCGCGUGUGUGAAGAAGGCCCUAGGGUUGUAAAGCACUUUCAGCAGGGAGGAAAGGAUGUACGUUAAUACCGUGCAUCUGUGACGUUACCUGCAGAAGAAGCACCGGCUAACUCCGUGCCAGCCGCCGCCGUAA